CCUACGGGAGGCAGCAGUGGGGAAUAUUGGGCAAUGGGCGCAAGCCUGACCCAGCAACGCCGCGUGAAGGAAGAAGGCUCUCUGGUUGUAAACCUCCUUUGACAGGGAAGAGCAGAACACGGUACCUGUCGAAUAAGCCAUGGCUAACUACGUGCCAGCAGCCGCGGCAAUACGUAGGUGGCAAGCGUUGUCCGGAUUUACUGGGUGUAACGGGCGUGUAGCCGGGCUGACAAGUCAGAUGUGAAAUCCGGGGGCUCAACCCCCGAACUGCAUUUGAAACUGUUGGUCUUGAGUAUCGGAGCGGCAGGCGGAAUUCCUGGUGUAGCGGUGAAAUGCGUAGAUAUUAGGAGGAACACCAGUGGCGAAGGCGGCCUGCUGGACGACAACUGACGGUGAGGCGCGAAAGCGUGGGGAGCAAACAGGAUUAGAUACCCGAGUAGUC
Molecule: ribosomal RNA, 442 nt
Filed under: uncultured bacterium
Lineage: Bacteria
Description: partial 16S ribosomal RNA
Rfam family: Bacterial small subunit ribosomal RNA
Source: RNAcentral